CUCGCAGUCGGUUAGCGGCUAUACCACCUGCUUUGGGAGCAGGCACAUCGUGAGUUCGAGUCUCACCUGCGAGACCA
RNAcentral lists this transfer RNA (77 nucleotides) under Novimethylophilus kurashikiensis. RNAcentral describes it as "tRNA-Pro". It matches the Rfam family "tRNA". From Rfam's summary of the family: Transfer RNA (tRNA) molecules are approximately 80 nucleotides in length. Their secondary structure includes four short double-helical elements and three loops (D, anti-codon, and T loops). Lineage: Bacteria; Pseudomonadati; Pseudomonadota; Betaproteobacteria; Nitrosomonadales; Methylophilaceae. The record is from RNAcentral.